Long non-coding RNA from Culex quinquefasciatus (southern house mosquito), 1129 nucleotides. RefSeq lists it as uncharacterized. The transcript is spliced from 2 exons. The record is from RefSeq and is a predicted model, not a curated record. Lineage: Eukaryota; Metazoa; Arthropoda; Insecta; Diptera; Culicidae.
AUUGGCGUACGGUCGGUUCGGUUCGGUUCUUCCCUCAUCCAGGUUGACGUCCGCGCGUGUGUGUGUGCGUUUCUCACCUCUCUGCGCCUCCUUCGAUGGGGGUGGUGGUGGGUGGUUAAAAGACCCCUGGCUGCAGCUUUAAGGGCUAAUUUAGUGCUAGUUUCGACGGGGAAAUUGACGAUUUGACGCAUUUUUGGGGCGUUUUUUUCGGAGGACGGAGCUCGUUCCGGGUUGUGUUUGCACCCUAAACGUGGGGCGGAGUGUGGGCGCAUGUUUGGGGUUGUUUUGCUACGACCCUAAACAAACAGAGCUGGGAAGAAGGAAAAGGAAGAGUUUUUUUUUAGCAAAGGAUGUUGGCCCGCAGCUGAAGUUUUAGGAAGGAAAACUCCUUCCAGGAAGACUUGAAACUUGGUACCCGUGCCGUUUGUUGUCCCUCUUGUCCGCGGAACAAGACAAAAAAGGACACACACACCGAGUGAGAGGAAGUACGCGGUUUUCGAGGGAAAAUCGAUUAGAAGUGGUCGUCGUCGAUUUUUGACAGUGUGUGAGUGAGAGAAAGUUCGUCUGCGACGGAUUUGAGUGAGAAUUGCGGGAAACAAUCGUUGAAUUUCAUCUCUUAAAAAUUGAAAUCUUCAAAAAUACCGAAAAAAAUAAGGACAGUAGGGGGCAUACUGUUCGAAUCCAGACGAGAAAAAAAAAACUAAAAUCAAAAAGAAGAAAAUUUGAUUGCAUUAUUGCCUCCAGCGGAAAAAGGUUCGUUCGCGAGUGAGAAAAUCGCGGUGAGCGGUGAGAGAAUAAUCAAAAAACGAGAGAACAACAGAAAGCCGGUGAGAAGAAGGCAGAUUGUUGAAUGAAAUCGUGAAAAAAAUCGAGCGAUUUUUUGGUGUAAAUUAGGAAAUAACAAAAUCUAUUGAUGUUUGGCAUUUCUCUUCAAAUUAAUCGUCGUAUUUGUUGUUGGUAGAUUGUAAACGAAAAAAGGAAACAGCGUGUUGACUCCUGGAUGGUUUAAAAAGGCAUAAACGAAGAAAAGUGACGACUUGCGUAAAGCGAAAAUAAAUAAAAAUAUAAUAAAUAUAGAGUUUGUGUGACGGUGUCGAGUAUACCUAAAGAGAGAGAGAAAAAAAAAAAA